CACGCACGACACUUUGUUACUUUCAGUUUAAAUCCAGCUACACACGGAUCAGCAGAUCAUUGCUCACUUCAAUAUCGUAGUUUGUUGUAGUUAAUCGAUUUAUGUGAGAUGGGAAAUAUUUUUAGAAGGAAGGUUAAGCUGUUUACAAAUGAAAAUUCCCCUUUAAUUGGCUUUAAGUCGAAAUCGAAAUGGUGUACAUUACGAAAUGUGGCGCUCUUUGUGUCCUUUAUGCUAUGCAUAUUAAUUGUCUUAUAUGCGUUGUUUUUGAUAUUCAAUAAACCAAUGACGAAAAUAUCUACUUUAAGAUUAAAUAGUGUGGCGACCAUCAAUAAUGAUUAUUUUGAGAAAUGUGCACCACAGAUAACGUGUGACCCUAACGCAAAAUACAGAACAGUAAAUGGAUCAUGCAAUAAUUUGCAAAAUCCUAGCUGGGGCGCAGCACUAACUCCUUUUUAUAGAUACAUGGAUCCGGUGUUUAGUGAUAGGAUCUCAGCUUUUCGGCUACAAUCGGAUGGAAGUCUAUUACCAAAUGCUCGAAAUCUUACUCUGACGAUAUUCAAAGACAUUAAAAGGAUUUGUGACCAUAAAAACAAUGAAAUCUUGGUACCAUGGGCCCAAUUUAUCACCCACGAUAUGGCUUAUUCUCCAGUUCGUAGUGUCAAUUCAUCUUUUCCUGCUGCCCUAGACCAUUGUCAGGAUGAGAAUCCACCAACAGAGUGCUCGGCGACCAUUCCAUUAUCUCCGGACGAUCCAGUGUACGGAAAAUUGAAUAUGACGAUUUUAAAAUUCAUGCGUUUAGUAACUUCAUCAGCCGAUAAUUGCUCCUUAGUUCCUGACACAGUUCUUAAUAAAAACACACAUUUUAUCGACUCAUCAAAUGUGUAUGGUUCCGAUAUUGAUUUGGCAAAUCAAUUGCGUCUGUUUAAAGGAGGACAAUUAUUAUACAAUAAAAUUGAAAAUCAAAAAUAUUGUCCUCAGGAUUCAAGCAAAGUUGUAAAAAAAGGAAAUGAGACUCAAGUAACAGUUGCAUUUGUUGCAGGAGACAUAAAUGUUAACCAAAAUUUAGGAAUAGCCUUAUUUCAAAAUUUAUUUCUAAGAUUCCAUAAUUAUAUCGCAAACAAGUUACAAGAAGAUCACCCUUUAUGGACUGAUGAGACUGUCUACCAAGAAACACGUAGAAUCGUUGCAGCUGUUACUCAAAUUAUUACAUACGAUCAUUUUUUGCCGAUAAUUUUGGGUGAAAAUUAUAUCAAUGAAUAUGGUUUAAAUAACGAAACUAAUUAUGAUCCAACGAUAAUACCUGCUGUGGCACAAGAGAUGACUAGCGGUGCUUUCCGAUUACUUCACAACAUAAUUCCUGCCAAAUUAAACUUUAUGAGUGAAAAUUACACUACAUAUGAAGUGGAAGAACCUUCCAAGUCAUUUCUAAAACCAGAUUCAUUGAUUGGUAACGUUGAUGGAUUAAUUAGAGGCUUAACUGAAACUACUGGACGCGAACCGCAGUCAUCGUACAAUAACCUUAUUACAAAUAUUGUUAUUGAAAGUCCAUCAAUCAAUACUACUGGAUUUGAUUUGCUUUCUUAUGAUAUACAACGUGGUCGUGACGUUGGUCUUCCUCCUUACACUAAAUUGAGAAGUUUGUGCGGACUGCCACAAGUGAAUACAUUUGAUGAUUUAUCGGAUUACAUACCAUCAGAAAAAAUUGACCAGUUAAAAGAUUUCUAUUCAUCGGUUGACGAUAUUGAUUAUUAUGUUGGAAUUUUAUUGGAAAAUAAAGCAAACGGAUCCAUGCUUGGCCCUACUGGAAGUUGUGUUAUUGCUGAUAGUUUUUAUCGAUUUAGAAACGGUGAUCGAUUUUUUUACGACGUCAAAGAUCAACCUGGAAGCUUCACUUCGGAUCAAUUACAGUCGUUGAAGAAUAUUACUCUUAGUCAUAUUAUCUGUGUAACGUCAGAUGUAGAACGUAUUCAAACGAAUACAUUCAAGUUAAUUGAUCACAUACGAAUGAUGAAACUUAAGCCCAACUGCGAAACAUACACAAUUGACUUAACUGCAUGGUGAAUGAUUCCAAAACAUACUAAAUAUAAGUUUUCCUCAUGAAUAUAUUUAGACAGUACUGUUUUUUUGAGAUCGGAACUUUGAGCUAACAAUGUGUAGAUGAAGAAGAACAACUAGGUUCAGAUUUAUUUAUCAAGUAUAAAGUUAAAUAGUAUCUGCCUUUAGCCUUUAUACUUUACACAAAUUGUUUUUGUGUAUAGGAACCCUGAACUGAAUUGGAAUAUGAUUUCGAUAAAAUUUAAUAUUUAGAUACAACAAAACAAUCAAGAUAUCAAGUAUAAAUUAUACUUUAGUAAUUUAUUUAUGCAAAAGUACCUAUAGGUAUUUACACUAAUAUCUAAAUAAAAAUACAAUAUACAGUAGUGUAUACUAUACACAAGAUACAAAUAAAUGGAAUUUUUCUCUUUUAUGCGUUAUUAUGAUGUGGUAUGAUGAAUGUAUGAUAUUUUGAAUAGCAAUAAAAAAUAAUAUCAACUAUA
Molecule: unclassified non-coding RNA, 2537 nt
Filed under: Rhopalosiphum maidis (corn leaf aphid)
Lineage: Eukaryota; Metazoa; Arthropoda; Insecta; Hemiptera; Aphididae
Description: chorion peroxidase-like, transcript variant X7
Source: RNAcentral